This 1152-nucleotide ribosomal RNA is filed under the name Levilactobacillus brevis. Its description in RNAcentral is "bacterial SSU rRNA". It matches the Rfam family "Bacterial small subunit ribosomal RNA", at positions 84 to 1227 of the family's 1533-position model. Lineage: Bacteria; Bacillati; Bacillota; Bacilli; Lactobacillales; Lactobacillaceae. The record is from RNAcentral.
ACAAUGAGCGAGUGGCGAACUGGUGAGUAACACGUGGGGAAUCUGCCCAGAAGCAGGGGAUAACACUUGGAAACAGGUGCUAAUACCGUAUAACAACAAAAUCCGCAUGGAUUUUGUUUGAAAGGUGGCUUCGGCUAUCACUUCUGGAUGAUCCCGCGGCGUAUUAGUUAGUUGGUGAGGUAAAGGCCCACCAAGACGAUGAUACGUAGCCGACCUGAGAGGGUAAUCGGCCACAUUGGGACUGAGACACGGCCCAAACUCCUACGGGAGGCAGCAGUAGGGAAUCUUCCACAAUGGACGAAAGUCUGAUGGAGCAAUGCCGCGUGAGUGAAGAAGGGUUUCGGCUCGUAAAACUCUGUUGUUAAAGAAGAACACCUUUGAGAGUAACUGUUCAAGGGUUGACGGUAUUUAACCAGAAAGCCACGGCUAACUACGUGCCAGCAGCCGCGGUAAUACGUAGGUGGCAAGCGUUGUCCGGAUUUAUUGGGCGUAAAGCGAGCGCAGGCGGUUUUUUAAGUCUGAUGUGAAAGCCUUCGGCUUAACCGGAGAAGUGCAUCGGAAACUGGGAGACUUGAGUGCAGAAGAGGACAGUGGAACUCCAUGUGUAGCGGUGGAAUGCGUAGAUAUAUGGAAGAACACCAGUGGCGAAGGCGGCUGUCUAGUCUGUAACUGACGCUGAGGCUCGAAAGCAUGGGUAGCGAACAGGAUUAGAUACCCUGGUAGUCCAUGCCGUAAACGAUGAGUGCUAAGUGUUGGAGGGUUUCCGCCCUUCAGUGCUGCAGCUAACGCAUUAAGCACUCCGCCUGGGGAGUACGACCGCAAGGUUGAAACUCAAAGGAAUUGACGGGGGCCCGCACAAGCGGUGGAGCAUGUGGUUUAAUUCGAAGCUACGCGAAGAACCUUACCAGGUCUUGACAUCUUCUGCCAAUCUUAGAGAUAAGACGUUCCCUUCGGGGACAGAAUGACAGGUGGUGCAUGGUUGUCGUCAGCUCGUGUCGUGAGAUGUUGGGUUAAGUCCCGCAACGAGCGCAACCCUUAUUAUCAGUUGCCAGCAUUCAGUUGGGCACUCUGGUGAGACUGCCGGUGACAACCGGAGGAAGGUGGGGAUGACGUCAAAUCAUCAUGCCCCUUAUGACCGGGGCUACCGUGCUA